Long non-coding RNA from Melanotaenia boesemani (Boeseman's rainbowfish), 296 nucleotides. RefSeq lists it as uncharacterized. Lineage: Eukaryota; Metazoa; Chordata; Actinopteri; Atheriniformes; Melanotaeniidae. The transcript has 3 exons. The record is from RefSeq and is a predicted model, not a curated record.
CAGAAUGGGCCUCUGGAACUUUCAGAUGAUAGUGAUUUUGAAAGCCCAGUUUUACAACGUAGGAGAGUGAGUCAGCAUGAGGGUCCUUCAACAAGCCAGAGGGAACAACAUGAGAGAGAGGAUGAUGGUGAAAUCAGUCUUCCAGCUCAUGAUGAAAUGGACUUUCAAGAACAACAAAGGCCAAAUGAAGCUCGUGUUCACUUUGCAGAUUUCAUCCCAAUUGAUGUUGAAGAAGAUGAAGCCAUUGAGGAAGCCAUCAGACAAAGUCUUUUAGAUGAAACUGUACAGUCCUCACA